RNAcentral lists this long non-coding RNA (5138 nucleotides) under Sus scrofa (pig). RNAcentral describes it as "lncRNA (ENSSSCG00015076713.1)". Lineage: Eukaryota; Metazoa; Chordata; Mammalia; Artiodactyla; Suidae. The record is from RNAcentral.
CAAGCUGAUUAAAUUCUUUUCCAUUUUCAUUUCAAAAUUUGAGUGUAUUUUUGCAUGUUUUCUUUCAGUCUGAGUUUUCAGAGUUGUACCUUAUUAAUCGCUGUCAAAAUUUGUAUAUUUUUCGUUUUUUAAGGUAUGUUCAUAAGUAGCAUGGGAUAUAAAGGAUUGAGGCAAACUUAAGGUUAGAACUUCUAUGUCAGGCCAAGUGGAUUUAAGGAACUAAGUCCACCAAGGUGAAUGCAUUUUGCCUGUCUCCUGCCCCUCAGUGCAGGGAACAAGGCUAGAAAUACAAUAUGUGGAGUUCCUGUCAUGACUCAGAGGAAACGAAUCUGGGUAGUAACCAUGAGGAUGCAGGUUUGAUCCCUGGCCUUGCUCAGUGGGUUAAGGAUCCAACAUUGCCAUGAGCUAUGGUGUAGGCUGGCUGCUGCAGCUCUGAUUUGAACCCUAGCCUGAGAACCUCUGGAAGCCGUGGGUGUGGCCCUAAAAAGACCAAAAAAAAAAAAAAAAAGAGUGUUUCUUCAAUGUCAUCAUUCCCAGUGUAUGUUCGUAGGUAUAACUCAUGGAGCACUUACUAUGUACUAGGCAUUGUUCUACAUAUUUUUCCAGCCAAUAUCUUGGUUGGUGGUGAUAUUUUCUGUAUUUCUGAAGAAAAGGAGGCUCAGAAAGAGAAAGAGAGCUAUGUGAACAAGUUCACCCAGUGUAUAAUGAGCAACAUAAGUACCAAACCCAGGGCUGUCCACACAGAUUUAGAGGGUGCUGAGCGGAAAAGAAAUCCACAACCUAAUGAGACUGAGCAGUGAAGGAGAACAUCCUUCAGUGUUAUGAUGCAUGUAUCCUUCAUGUAGUUGUGACGCAGAUGGUAUUAAGCCCCUGUGCUCUGGGUAAGUUUUGCUCCUUUUCAUCUGUAUGAAACUGAGUGAAAUAUCUUUAUGCUUUUGAAGUGAUAGCCUUGUAGAGUUGAAGAUCUAGUGACCUGUGGCUCACUAUCAAUUUCCGGAAUAAACAUAUACACACAAUUUCAAGUGUUGAAUCCUACAGAAGGUGUGUGAUAGAUAUCUUAGCUUUAAAAAUGCCCACCAGUAUGAAUGCUAUGGUAAAUACCGCUCAAAUGGUAUACUUUAGCGGUAGCUUUAGUGAUUCCCAAAGUGAGGGCUUUCCAUGGAGAUCAUUUUGGAGGUUUUCCCAUCUUUAUAAUGAGUCUUCUAUUAAAAAAUCUUGUUGAGAGAAUACCCCCAUUUGAGAGAAGAGGCCUAGACCACAUUAAUUGUACAGUCUUGUUUUACAGAAGAGGAAACUUGGUCCCAAAGAAAGUAAGAAACUUACUCUGCCCUCUGGAGAAGAACUGAAGCUGGGAUCCAGUAUAUUCUUUUCUACCACAAGUACCCAUUUCAUCAUUUAAAAAAAAAUCUAAUUAUAGUUGACUUACAAUAUUCUGUCAAUGUUUGCUGUACAGCAAAGUGACCCACUUAUACACAUACAUACAUUCUUUUUCACACAUUAUCCUCCACCAUGCUCCAUCACAAGUGAUUAGAUAUAGUUCCCUGUGUUAUACAGCAGGAUCUCAUUGCUUAUCCACUCCAAAUGCAAUAGUUUGCAUCUUCUAACCCCAAACUCCCAGUCCAUCCCACUCCUUCCCCCUCCCCCUAAAAAACCACAAGUCUGUUCUCCAAGUCCAUGAGUUUGUCUCUUUUCUGUAGAUAGGUUCAUUUGUGUCAUAUUUAGGAUUCCAGGUAUAAGUGAUAUCAUAUGGUGUUUGUCUUUCUGACUUACUUCACUUAGUUUGAGAGUCUUUAGUUUCAACCCUGUUGCUGCAAAUGGCAUUAUUUUGUUCUUUUUUAUGGCUGAGUAGUAUUCCAUUGUGUAUAUGUACCUCAUCUUCUUAAUCCCUUCAUCUGUGGAUGGACAUUUAGGUUGUUUCCACCUCUUGGCUAUUGUCAGUAGUGCUGCAGUGAACAUAUGGGUCCAUGUAUCUUUCUCAAUGAUAAGUUUUGUCCAGUUAGAUGCCCAGGAGUAGGAUUGCUGGGUCAUAUGGUAGUUCUAUAUUUAGUUUUUUGAGGUACCUCCAUACUAUUUUCCAUAGUGGUUGUACUAAUUUACACUCCCACCAGAAGUGUCAGAGGGUUCCUUUUUCUCCACAUCCUCUCUAGCAUUUAUUUGUUCAUUUAUUAAGGAUGGCUAUUCUGACUGGUGUGAGGUAGUAUCUCGUGGUAGUUUUGAUUUGCAUUUCUCUAAUAAUCAGUGAUGAUGAGCAUUUUUUCACGUGCUUUUGGCCAUCUGUAUGUAUUCUUUGGAGAAAUGUCUAUUCAGAUCUUCUGCCCAUUUUUAAGUUUGUUUUUACUGUUGAGUUGUAUGAAUUAUUUGUGUAUUUUGGAGAUUAAGACCUUGUCAGUUGCGUUGUUUGAAACUAUUUUCUCCCAUUCUGUAGGGUAUCUUUUUUUUUUUUUUAAUGGUUUCCUUUGCUGUGCAAAAGCUUAUCAGUUUUAUGAUGUCCCAUUGGUUUAUUUUUGUUUUUAUUUCUAUUACUUUGGGAAACUGACCUAAGAAAACAUUUGUGGUUGAUGUCAGAGAAUGUUUGCCUAUGUUCUCUUCUAGGAGUUUGAAGGUGUCUUGUCUUAUAUUUAAGUCUUUAAGCCAUUCGAGUUUAUUUUUGUGCAUGGUGUGAGGGUGUGUUCUGGUUUCAUGGAUUUACAUGUAGCUGUCCAGUUUUCCCAGCACCACUUGCUGAAGAGACCGUCUUUUUCCCAUCUUACAUUCUUGACUACCUUGUCAAAGAUUAAUUGACCAUAGGUGUCUGGGUUUAUUUCUGGGUUCUCUGUUCCAUUGGUCGGCAUGUCUCUUUUGGUACCAGUACCACACCAUCUUGAUGACUGUAGCUUUAUAAUAUUGUCCAAAGUCUGGGAGAGUUAUGCCUCCUGUUUGGUUUUUGUCUCUCAGAACUGCUUUGGCAAUUCUGGGUCUUUUGUGGUUGCAUGUAAAAUUUUGGAUCGUUUGUUCUGGUUCUGUGAAAAAUGUCAUGGGUAAUUUGAUAAGGAUUGCAUUGAAUCUGUAAAUUGCUUUGGGUAGUAUGGCUAUUUUUAUGAUAUUAAUUCAUCCAAUACAGGAGCAUGAAAUAGCUUUCUAGUUCUUUGAAUCCCCUUUAAUUUCCUUGAUUAAUGUUUUAUAGUUCUCAGCAUAAAAGCUUUCACCUCUUUGGUCAGGUUUAUUCCUAGGUAUUUAAUUUUGGGGGGCUCAAUUAUAAAAGCUGGGCUGUGGGAUGGAAAUCCUGUGAAAUCAGAUUGUUAUGAUUAUUAUACAACUACAGAUGUGAUAAAUUCACUGGAGUAAUUAAAAAAAUAAAAAUUUACUGUAUUUUUAUAUCCUUUUCUAAUAUUUCAUUGUUAGUAAACAAAAAUGCAACCAACUUCUGGAUGUUAAUCUCGUUUCUGCUACUUAUGCUGAAUUUGUAGAUCAGUUCGAAUAGUUUGUUGUGUGGAGUCCUUAGGGUUUUCUGUAUAUAGUAUCAUGGCAUCUGCAUAGAGUGGCAGUGUUACCUCAUCUCUUCCAAUUUGGGUAUCUUUUAUUUCUUUCGUUUGUCUGAUUGCUGUGGCUAGGACUUCCAAUACUAUGUUGAAUAAAAGUGGUGAGAGUGGGCAUGCUGUUUCAUCUUAAUAGUGCCUUCAGCUGGAACCUAAGCAUUUUUAAAAAAAACUUUAUUGAAAUAUAGUCGAUUAUACAAUGUUAAUUUUUGCUGCAUCAAAGUGACUCAGUUGUAUAUGAAUAAUUUUUCAUACCCUUUUCCAUUAGGUUUUAUCAACAGGAGAGGUUCAAUAUAGUUUCCUGGGCUAUGUAGUAGGACCUUGUUUAUCUGUUCUAUAUAUACCCGUUUGUAUCUGCUAACCUCAAACUCCCACUCCAUCCCUGCACUACCCCCUUCUCCUUUGGCAACCUCAAAUCUCUUCUCUCUGUGAGUCUAUUUCAUAGAUAAGUUCAUUUUAGAUUCCACAUAUCAGUGAUAUCAUAAGAUAUUUUGCUUUUUGACUUACUUCACUUACUAUGAUAAUCUCUAGGUUCCUCCAUGUUGCUGCAAAUGGUAUUAUUUCAUUCUUUUUUUUACAGCCAAUAUUCCAUUGUAUAUAUGCAGCAUAUUUCCUUUAUUCAUUCAUCUGUGGAUGGACACUUAGGUUGUUUCCAUGUCUUACCUAUUGUGAAUAGUGCUUCUAUGAACAUAGGGGUACAUACGUCUUUCCUAAUAACAGUUUUAUCUGGGUGUAAGUCCAGGAGUGGGAUGGCUGGAUCAUACAGCAACCCUAUUUUUAGUUUUUUGAGGACACCCUUUGCCACAGUGGCUGUAGCAGUUACAUUCCCACCAAUAGUGUGAGAGGGUUAAACCCAAAAUUUGAAUGUUGUAUUGAGAUAUAAGUUGCAGAUGAGGAGUCCCUGAGCUUUGAAGUCUCCUAUCACUAGUCAGUAUCACUACUAGCUGUAUGACCUUGGGCAGUGUGUUCGUCUCUGAACCAGUUUUCUCCUCCACACAAGGCAGUUGUGCAACACGGUGUCUAGAGUCAUUGUGUUACCACAACACGUGACUCUGAUUUCAACCUAUUUGUGAAUGAACUUCUUUUCACAAAGCACAUGGCUGCCUUUUUACCUCAUUAAGAUUCUCUGCAUUUCUAAUGGAAAAUGAUGUUGGCACAAUAAUUCCAAAUAUGAACAAACGCUAAAAGAUAAAAUACACAUUUUCCAAACAUGAAAGAACUCAGAGAAUUUAUCUCCCUAGUUCCUAGUUUUAAUAAGCCAUUAGUGGCUAUCCUUGAGCAAGUCAGGGAACUAAGACAUAUGUGGGAGCCAAGAAGUGAUAAGACAAAUGCAGACGCCCCAAAGAGGGACAUCCUGAGGGGAUAACUGGUCAGCAUCCUUAGGAAACAAUUCAUCAAAAUUAGGACAGGAAGCCAGUGGACUCCAAGAAGGAUGCCUUCAGGAGAAAGAAUGGAACGGAUUCAAAGAACGAUGAGAGAGCCAGAUAAUACUAGUGACCUAUCUUAAAAAAAUCACAUGUUUAUGUGGGUGUGUUACCGUUCCGUAAGAACACAGAAAAAUAACCAACACCAAGAGAAAGAAAUUCAUAAAAACUAAAUGGAAGAGUCCCAGAUAUGAGGCAG